UACGAGGGGGGCAAAUGUUGUUCGGAAUCACUGGGCGUAAAGGGUGCGUAGGCGGGUUUUUAAGUCAGGUGUUUAAUCCCGGGGCCCAACCCCGGACAGGCACUUGAAACUGGGAAUCUUGAAUAGUGGAGAGGUCAGUGGAAUUGGGGGUGUAGCGGUGGAAUGCGUAGAGAUCCCCAAGAACACCCGUUGCGAAGGCGGCUGACUGGACACAUAUUGACGCUGAGGCUCGAAAGCGUGGGGAGCGAACCGG
RNAcentral lists this ribosomal RNA (253 nucleotides) under uncultured bacterium. RNAcentral describes it as "partial 16S ribosomal RNA". It matches the Rfam family "Bacterial small subunit ribosomal RNA", at positions 524 to 776 of the family's 1533-position model. The record is from RNAcentral.